GUGGGGAGCAAGGGCACGCCAACUUCCUGACAGCCCCCUUUCCUGGGCUGCAGCCCUCUCUGUCUUUGGCCACCAUUCUCUAACUGUACAGCCUCAGCAAGUCCAAGUGCUCAUCUCAGAGUGUCUGCCAAAUGGAAUCCCUGUCCUGCUCUGUUAGUACCUGGGGCUCCCUCUUCUGAGUGGGACAGGCCAUGGUGCUGGCCUAUGCUCCUGCAGAGGACCAGACCUGGAGCACGGAAAGAGGCCUGGAAUAAUAGAUCCUUUUAAGAGGAGGAGAAGUCAGAGUCAUGGGGGGAUGAUAGUGGCAGCUGAGGUCAUAGGGGUCUGUGAACCAGGAGCACACGUGGCCUCUGAGGGACAAUAAAGCCUGACCAAGAGCUUGCUUUGAGACCUGCUUCAAAUUUCUGACCUCCAGUGACAUGGUAGAUGAAUUUCCCUGGCUGUGGAGUGAGCUGGAACUAGAACAUAGAGACUGAAGCAAGCAAGGUAAGCUGCCAACCGCGGGCUGCAGAGAAACAGAAGAACAGUAAAAAACUGGAAAGAGCGAGUGGGUGUGGUGGGGAGAGUCAAAUGGACCCUUUCUAACCCUUGUCUGUCAUUAGCAUUUUUUCAACCUUUAGAAAUUUGAUGGGUGAAAAAGAAUUUAACUUCUGGCUCUAUAUGUGUUUCUUGUUUACUAGAAAGGUUGAAUUUUACUUUGGUGGGGUGUGUGAAUAAUAUGCUCACUGGUGAUGUCUUCUUUUGUGAGGUGCCCAUUUGUAGCUUCUGACUGUGUGUUCAUGACCAUGGUUCAUGAUCAUGAGGAAGCUUUUUGCAGAAUGCAAAGCCAAGCAUAUUUGCUGUUCCUCAUGUUAUCGGCUGCGUGCAGGUACACAUUUGUGGUUGGAGUCUAUUUUUGAAUUUAUGCUGGCAAGAAAAGUUCUAGUUACUGGGGACAAUGAAUUUUCUUCCCUCGAGUAUCUGCCUGAGGGCACUCCCUGACCUUUGCUACCUUGGGAUGUCUGGUUGGAAUGGUAAGGAGGAAUAUCAGGUGUUCACAGUCCAGGUGACAGGAAGAGAACAUGGACACAGACCAGGAGGCCAAGCCCCCCUCAAUUUGCUGGGAUGCUGGUGAGAAAUAACCUUUUGGUCUCAAUGAAAAUGUGAGACAGGAGGGUGGUUACCUGUGGGGUCACCACUAGAGUUGUGUGCAUGCACAUGAACUUUUACUUCUCCAUUUCUGCCCUCCAUUCCUGAAUGGAUUCAUGAGCUUUCCUGACGUUUUGGUAUAAAAAGUCUUGAGAAUACAGAAAUCCGUGGAGGAUGGUGCACGAACACCUACACGUGCUAUUGGAGUCCCUGCCAGCAUCUGUCCCCCCACUGCCCAUCUCUACUCUCAUGCUUUAUCCCUCAGACACAUCGAUGCCUUUCAAUUUACCUUGAUGCAGAUCAAGGUAAACCGCAUUCUUGAAAUGUCUUUGUAAUCAACUUUGUAGUCUGUUUUAAACAGAAGUAUUUAAAUGAAAUGAUACCUAAUGUCAUGUCUGACUUCAAGGAUGACAAAUGUAGCACUCUUUAGCAAAAAGAUUUCAGGCAUGUGUGUCCCUUAAUUUCUUUAAUACAGAUGAUAUGUGAGGUUUUGUUGUUGCCGUGGAAAAUAGAAAAUAGAGCAAAAAGAAAAAAGAAAGAAAAUCACCUAGAGAGCUGAUUUUUGCUGUUUACAUCUGAAUUUUUCCAGUACAAAUAGAUACAAAUAAAUAAAUGGAACCCUGUUUCUCUAACUUUGUCAGAGAUAAGUGAGGUGGCAGUGAAUGUCUUUCCAUAUGCAUAGUGAUGAUAGGUAGCCCAUGGGGUCAGUGUGACUGUCCCACAUUGUAUAUGGAAAGACGAAGCUAAGGGAGGUCCAAAAACUGCUUUUGUAUAAGCAAGUACUAAGUGCAGAGCCAGAGCUUGAAUUGAAGUCUGGCUUAACACCAAGGACAUACACUCAACUAUUUCAUUUGUUUCCAAUUCCAAAAAAAUUAGCAUUCUUGAUUGUGUUCUAAGAAAUGAAUAAACGCCUUUGGAUGAUGGAGAAUGCUUUUGGCAAUCAAAAUAGCAUUUAGAAGUAUUUGGCUGCACUAAGAGACAUGGUGGCAAGUGAGAAGCAGCCAGCUGGCCCAUGCUGAGUCCCAGGAGCAAGAUAAUCUGUCUGGAGUCAAGGAUCUGUCCCUGGCCUGAGGAACAAUGUCACAGAUAUGGCCAAGGGGAUUUUGCUCGCAUGAUCAAGGAGAGGAGAACUGACAAUCUAUGGACAAGGUGAACAAGUGACUCACAAGAUUUUCACCUGGGCUGGGCAUACAGUGGUAUAUGGCUGUAAUCCUAGAUCUUUGGGAGGCUGAGGCAGGAAGAUCGAAAGUUUGAGCCUUGCAGGGGCAAUUUAGUGACUUAGUAAGACCUUGUUUCACUGAUAUAAAAAGGGCUAGGGAUGUAGCACAAUGUGAAGGUUCUGUGUUUAAUCCCCAGUAUUCUCCCUGCAAAAAAAUUCACCGGAUGGAAGCCAGCGGUCUGAGAGCCAGGCAGCUCCACAUCCUGCCCACCCUUACUGUUGGGGCCCUUACUGCUACUAACUCUUCCCCCAGGAAAGGGCCAGGAGACCCAUGUUCCUUAGCGGAUGCACAGAUACUAGAAUAAGCGUAGAUUUCAGCAUGCUUUGAGGACUUCAGUGUUGCAAGUACGUGUGUCAUGGCAUGAGGUCUUGGGUUGGUGUUUUUUAAAUUGUUACUAUUUUUGGAAUUUGUGUGUUACUUGGAAUGGAACCCCAAACUUGUACACAGAGCUACAUCCUCAAGGCUGUGUUUUGUUUUGUAUUGUUAAAUUUUGGGGCAAGGUCUUACUAAGUUUUCCAGGCUGGGUUCCAACUUGGGAUUCUCCUGACUCAGCCUCUCAGAGUGCUAGGAUUAGAGGCAUGUGCCACCACAUCUGGCUUUGCUCUGAGUCUUUAGGAGAUUUUAAUUCCUUUAUUAAUUUUCUUGGUAAGGCAGAUUUUGUUUUGCAAACAAAAUCCCAUCUCACUUUCACCUCACAGUUAUGUUCUAGAAAGAACUUAAGUGCAUUUAUUCAAGGUGAUAAAAAAUGAAAGCUGGGCUGGGGAUUUAGCUCAGUGGCAUAAGCGCCUGCUUUGCAAGCAUGCGAUCGUGAGUUCGAUCCCUGAUACCUAUUAAAAAAAAAAAAAAAGAUGAAACCUGUAGAAGCUGCCUCUGGUGUGAGUUCAAAGUCCCUGGUACAGAGGUGAAAGCCAAGGUCAUCCUCUGCUCCGAGCCCAGAUUCUGUAGCGAUGAAGAGUCACAGGCACUGGGAGGGAAGGCUACAAAUGCUCUACUGUCGCAUGAUGAUCAGCAGAUACAGUGAUUCGUUUGUCUCGGGGCAAGCACAGGGAAGGAGGGAAAAGAGUUUAGCAACCUCUGAAUUUGGCCUCUUCUAUGUGAACCGAGCCUACUUCAAUGAUGUCUUCACAGCCACAUUUCUUUGCAUCCCCACGAACAUCCUGAUCUGAGCAGAAGAAAACUGUGCCCGUAGGAGUGGUAUGAUUUUGGUUUUGAUUUGGGCCUGAAAUGCUACUUUUAUGAGGAGAAAAGUGGGUAAAGAUGUAAACAAGUGAUUCAUCGCAUGGAAACCAGCACAAGGCUGAGCGCUAUCAUCCACGUGUGCUGAUCACAAACAGGAAAAACAUUUUGUACCUUCACAUGAAACAGAAACAACAGUCACUCUGUCUAGUGCUGGUCCACAAAUAACACAAUCUUGAGCUUUUCCUGUGAACCCGGACUCUGAUAGAUGCAGCCUUGUCUCUGAUUUUGGAAGUAAUGUAGUACUGUGCAUAAUUACGUGAGGCAGUUUUUUGUUUGUUUAAAUAUUUUGUUACUAUUUGCUUUAAAAAAAAGCUUUACAUACUGUUGUGUUAUUUAUUAGGCUUUCAAAAACAGUACCAAUGAUCUUCAAAACAAAAAUAAAGUUUUGGAUGACCUGGGUUUUUUUUAACUGAA
Long non-coding RNA from Cavia porcellus (domestic guinea pig), 4001 nucleotides. RefSeq lists it as uncharacterized. Lineage: Eukaryota; Metazoa; Chordata; Mammalia; Rodentia; Caviidae. The transcript has 3 exons. The record is from RefSeq and is a predicted model, not a curated record.